CUUAUAGCCUCGAGUGAAUGCGUUAUGGCCGUAGAGCACUGCUUGGACUAGGGGCCCUACCAGGUUACCGACUUCAGGCAAACUCCGAAGACCAUUACGUGUAUCUCGGGAGUCAGUGUGCGGGGGAUAAACUUCGUACGCGAGAGGGAAACAUCCCAGACCAUCAGCUAAGGACCCCAAGUGUUUGCUAAGUGGGAAACGAUGUUCGAAUGCACAGACAACCAAGAGGUUGGCUUAGAAGCAGCCAUCCUUGAAAGAGUGCGUAACAGCUCACUGGUCAAGUGUUCGAGCGCGGAUAAUUCAACGGGGCUCAAGCAAACCUCCGAAGCUAUGGACUCAGCAGAUCUGCGGAUUCGCUGAGUGGUAGGAGAGCGUUCCUGUUGCUUGAAGCGGUCGCGUAAGCGUCCGUGGAGCGUCAGGAAGUGAGAAUGUCGGCAUGAGUAACGCAAGGAAGGUGAGAAUCCUUCCCACCGAUUGUCCAAGGUUUCCUGAGUAAAGUUCGUCUGCUCAGGGUUAGUCGGGACCUAAGACGAGGCCGAAAGGCGUAGUCGAUGGCCAACGGGUUGAUAUUCCCGUACCACGUCGCAUCCGUUAUGACCAAUGGGGUGACGAGGAAAGGAAAGGGAACCCAGGCGAUGGUUGUCCUGGGGUAAGCGCGUAGCUAGUCGUGAUUGGCAAAUCCGUCACGGCGUUUUGACGCGAGGCGCGAUGCCAGCUGGCUUGACCGCCGGCGAGUCCCUGUACCUAUGCCUCCAAGAAAAACCUCUAGGCAGGAUGCUCGUGCCCGUACCGAGAACCAACACAGGUGGACAGGUAGAGAAUACUAAGGUGAGCGAGCUAGCCCUCGUUAAGGAACUCGGCAAAAUCGUCCCGUAACUUCGGGAGAAGGGACGCCCCGGUAGGGUGAAGCCACUUGCUGGCUGAGCCCGAGGGGGCCGCAGUGACUAGGUCCAACCGACUGUUUACCAAAAACACAGGCCUCUGCUAAGUCGAAAGACGAUGUAUAGGGGCUGACGCCUGCCCGGUGCCGGAAGGUUACGCGGAGUUGUUAGCUCUUCGGAGCGAAGCAGCGAAGCUAAGCCCCGGUAAACGGCGGCCGUAACUAUAACGGUCCUAAGGUAGCGAAAUUCCUUGUCGGGUAAGUUCCGACCUGCACGAAUGGCGUAACGAGUUGGACGCUGUCUCAACGAGGGGCUCGGUGAAAUUAGAGUCUCGGUGAAGAUACCGAGUACGCGCAGCUAGACGGAAAGACCCCGUGAACCUUUACUGCAACUUGAUGUUGGAGUUCGGUACAUCUCGCUAGAAAG
This 1307-nucleotide ribosomal RNA is filed under the name metagenome. Its description in RNAcentral is "bacterial LSU rRNA". It matches the Rfam family "Bacterial large subunit ribosomal RNA", at positions 873 to 2146 of the family's 2925-position model. The record is from RNAcentral.